RNAcentral lists this long non-coding RNA (25075 nucleotides) under Lynx pardinus (Iberian lynx). Lineage: Eukaryota; Metazoa; Chordata; Mammalia; Carnivora; Felidae. The record is from RNAcentral.
GGGCAAAGGCACCAGGGCCAUUGGGCAAGGUCUGGAGACAAUUUUCAAUUUUCGCAACUGGAAGUGCUACUGACAUCUGGUGAGUGGAGGCCGGGGAUGCUGCUAAACAUCCUACAGUGAGCAGGACAGCCCCCCCAACAAUGAAGUAACCAGUCCCAAAUGUCAAUAGUGCCGAAGGUAAGAAACCUAGCACUUGAGUGAUAGUGACAACUCUGUGCGAGGACAAAAUAAGUGGGAGGAAAAACCGUAAGACACCUGACCUCUCCUCGGCCACAGUCUGGAAAAUGAUUCAUUUGGGUGGGAAAGGAGAUGGUGGAUGGUAGAAGCAAGGUGAACAGAGGUAGCCUUGGGGUCCCAAAGAGAAAUGUAGUCCCUCCACCUUCAUUCUGUGCCUCCCAGGUUGGGGCCUCAGGGAGACAGAGGAUGGCUAUGUAUUCUGUAUAGGCAGAUGGGACUAUAAAGAAAUGAUGAUUCCUAUCCUGUGCGGGCUGAUGACUGAAGACCAGAAGAGAUGAUGGAUAUCUUAGCAUAGACACCUGUACUUCAUACUUUUUUCAUGCCCCGGGAGCAUAGAUACACCCCUGGAAAAAAGGGGUAGCUCACACUGACCAGCCAGGUAGGGGAGACUGAACAAUGGAAUAAAUUUGAAUUUUUUUUUUUUUUUUUGUAAGUGUAAAACUUGCACAUCACACACUGUGGCCUGGGGCUAGUAUGUGCUGUACGUGGAAGUUCUAUCCUGAAUUACUCAAACAGAUUGUAAAUAUAUUUACAUAAGUCUAUCUCGACUAAUUCAAUUAAAAGCAAUACUCCUUUUUGUUUGAUUGCAUUGAAUUAGAACAGGUUAUUACUAAACUUUCAACAUGAUAUCAGUGUUUGAUUCUGUAAUUCCCACCCCUUCUAUUACCAAGAGUACUUUAGAAUUUUGCUCUUUGUUUAUGUAUCAGGCCCAGUGACACAACUGAGGACAGUUUGGUAGGUUUAAAACCAGGACUAAGUUAGAAUAAACUAGCUGGUGGUCCAAACCCAUCUCAAAUGUUCAAUUGCUAUAAUCUUAAGGAGAAUUUAGUUUCUAAAAAAAAAAAUAUAUCUGGUGCAAAAGGGAUAGUUUUGGGGUAUUUGAUCUGGCUCAUCUUUAAAAAAAAAAAAAAAAGGAAAGAGACACACGAAUAUGUAUCACAGUUCUAUUGAUUUGAAUCCCCACCCAGAAACCUAGAAAAUUCACCCAACCAUUCAUCAAGAAUUCUGGACACCAUUAUCAAAGGAAAAGGACAUGUGUUGGCAGAGGACUCACCAUCAUCUGCUGCCAGCCCCGGCAACAAUCUAAUGUUUGCAUACCGACCCGAAGCCAGAGGAAGGCUUUGUUCCUAAAGGACAUCCACUACAUUGUCCCCUCUGGUGCAAGCUGCUCUUCUCCUCCUUCCAGUGGCCAAUCAAUUUAUUUGCUUUCUCCAGAUCAUUUGGUGUCCUUAUCUCUCAUCAGAGACUCGAUGUUACAAAGAACCUGGAAAUUCUCUUCCUCAGGGAAAGCAGUUAUUUAUUAGGCAACCCUUAAUAUUCUACUCAUCUGCCAUGGUGGCGUGUUGACCUGGAGGUAACUGACACUGACACCCACUCUACUUUCCUUCCAACAAACCUACAUCUGGAUUGGAUAUCCAUCCCCAGAGCAUCACCGCUUGGAGCAAACUCUUCAUUUACGUUGAUAAUGCCUCCAUUUACUUCUUGAGACUCUGGGACACAUUAUACAAAUUGAAUAAAUAAACACAUUACCCUGACAUAAAGUCAUGUCAUGGAGUCCAAAAAUAACAAGUUCAGUCAGAGCUCAAAGCAACAUAAAAGCAUUUCUAACGUACAAGUCAAUCUCCUCUCCACUGAUUAUAUUUUGUCUUCCUACACAAUCUGGAAUUACUGGAAAUAUGCCAUUUUUUCUUCCUGUAUUGGGUUAUCUAGAAGUUGCUUUACUGUUUAUUCUGGAACCUCAUUCCUAUUUUUGACAUGUAGAAGGGAAAGAGAUUAAAGUGAUUCCAGAUCUGCGCAGAACUUUCUCUAGCAUUACCCUUGACCCUUACUGAAAUCUUCUACCCAAUCAGGAGUCACCAUUAUUUUAUAAAAGUGAUAUCAUUGUAAAAUGUCAUUUGUAAAGGAAGAGAAAUUUAGGAGGGACUUAAAUAGAUGAUCAGGAGAAAUGCCAUGGCUUAAAAGAAGAGAUAUGUUCAACAGAGGCUUCACAAUUAUCUCCAUGUUUAUGAAAGUUUAUUACAAUUAAGACACUUAUAUUAUCCUUCUUCUAUGAAGAAAACACCUGGGGGAUGGGAGAAAGCCAAAUUUAUCAGUAAGGGAAAACAAUACUGUAGUAAAGAUUGUAGGCAGCUUGAUGCCAUGGAAGAAUAGGAAACAGAACCAUCUGGGGAGGUAUGUCUUCUCUGACAGGUUUCAAGAUGACUCCCUUCUUGGUAGUUGACACUUUUCUGGGUCAUUGAGUAAGAAAGAUCCCCUGAAUGGAACUUCCUUGUUCACUAGCCUUCAGGCCCCAUUAGAGGUGGGCAUUUAGAGAGGGUGUCCUUUUUGGACCUUCACAGCUUUUGUAGCCUGCCUCUUGCUGGUACUGGUUUAAGGGCAAGCAAAUGCUUUGGGGAUUGAACAGAAUUUUGAGUCUUUAGCAAUCUAAUUUCUUCAAAAAUCUAAUGGGCUUCCAGUUUAUUUGCUUCUGGUCAGUUGUAUGUAGUUGUAUGUGUUAAUAGCCACAGACAGAAGUCUUGUAGAGUCAGAGUUUUAAGACCAAAGACACACAGGUCUUUUACUUAUCGACUCUGGGCUCUGCCCAUCCCCCUUCUCUCAUGUUUCAGGCUGGCUCUCUUAAAGCCUUUUGAAACAAAGAACUGGGUGGGAGACAACACUCUUCAUCUGAUCUUUGCCACUGAGCUGGCUCUCAUUGUCUGGCAGAGACCGCUUAACUGCAGGUGCUUGGGAAAGACUCAGAGACACCAUCUUAUCUUCUGCCAAGUCUGCCCUAUUUGCAGCCUUAGCUUAGAACUGCUUCAGUCUGGGGUACAAUAGCAAUUAGUUUUUUCAGCCCCAUAAAGCCCAAACUGCUGACUGUUUAGUACAGCAGUUAGGAACUUAAACUUUGAAUCCAGAUGGCGUACUUCAAUUAGGGUCCUCACUUGUAAGGUGUGCAACUGGCAAGUUACUUAACUUCUUCGGAUCUCAUUUGUAAAAUGGGUCUAAAACCACUAUGGACUUCAUUGUUGGAGGCUUGAUUUACUUAGAAUAUAUAAAGCACUUGAAUGGUGCCUGGCACACCGUAGGCACCAUGUAUGGGUAGUUAGUAUUACUUACUAAUUUAAGAUUGCUUAAAUUAGUUGAUGCUUGGUCAACUUGUAUUGCAGGAUGCUGUUGGCUACCAGACUGACUAGCUCACACCUCAGUUUACUUCUUUUGUAGACUUUGCUGAAGAAGCGAGCAGUAGCAAAUAUAAGAUAAUGUAUUGAAUCUUUCCUAUAAUUUCCCCUAAUGCUACAGCAAUAGCAAUCACUCUGCUUUCCAAGACGUCAUAGUAAUUGUUUCAUCAAAUGUGUUGCCACAGCAUAACAAGAGCUUUUUUGGCUGUCUCAGCCAUUAGUAUCUACAUUUUAGGUUUUGUCGUGGCCAACACUCUACUUUGAGACAUCAAGUCCUGGUUUCAUUAGGAUUUAUAUUUGUCUGCUCCUCAUAGAGAUCUUAAAUGCCUAAAGCAUAAACACACAAAAUCUUCAUUUCUUUUUGCAUUAAAGUCUGGAUUGAGGUGAUUCAGGGAUGGUAUGGCGAUUCCACAGUCAGAUCUGUAGCACCUGUUGCGUCCUGUGUUCCAUGCCGCCAUCGCUGCAGUGCUUCCUUAUCCUCACCAUUCAAGACGAGUAGCCAGCCCUCACACCCAUCUCCAAGCAGCAAAAGGGAAGACGGAGGAUAUGUUCUGGAAGUUGAAUGUACAUAUCCAGAACUUGUCACAGGGCCACACCCAGCAAGGGAGAUUAGAACACGUGGUGGUGCCUCUAGUGUCAGUAUGUCAAGCCCCAAAUCAGGGUUUGUAUUAUCACAGGAAAGAAUGAGAACAAACCCUGUGGAGACAAACAGAAGCCUCUGCCAUAUUUACUGAAAAAAUUUGUUUAUCUAGCUUAACACAUUGUCUAUUUAAAAAAAAAAACAAACGCACAGCAAUGUGACCUGUUCAUUUAAUUUCUCUUUACUCCCUACUAUAAGAAAAUGUAAAAACAGUGGGUAAUUACAUAUUCAAUAAGAAAGUAAAACCCAAUAGCUUGUAUCAAAUGACAAUUCUACCCUGGAAUAGCUUAUGCUUUUCCCUUAAGAGAUAAUUGCAUUUCCUAAAAUUGGAAUUAACUUGCAUUUGUAUUUUUUGCAAAUAAGUACCAAACUACUUGCAUGUUUGUGUAACAUAGGGUUGGUAGAGGUUUUAUUUACAGAAAUAAAACACCUAUUUUAGCCCCUAUAUGUUUCCCAAACUUGCAUACAGCAAAAUUAUAUUUUAGAAGGUUUAAUGACCAAAAUAUAUGGGUUGAAAUGAAAGACAGGAUAUCCUACUCUAUAUGAGCAUUUAGAGGGACUGAGAAAGACUGAACAUCUUCCAUUAAUUUUUGUUUACUUUUUCUCUUUCAGUUUAUCUUCAUGAGGCAAAGAGAUAAUUGAAAGAGCAAAAAAACAAUGUUUGGGGUUUUAUAACUGCCACAAAACUUCAAAUUUAAAAAAAAAUGACAAUGAGCUAAAGAAAAAUAAGCAAUAUAUAAAUGGCUUUUCUUUCUUCAUUAACCAACAUUUCUGUAUCUGAGCCUAAGCUUUUUUUUUUUCUUUCUUUCUUUUUUGGUUGGUUGGUUUUGUUUGGUUUUGUUUUGGGUGAUGUUCAGCAUUUUGUGUCCUGAUAGGAAUUUUAAUGAAUGUAAAACAAAAGCACUGGUACCAAGCUGAGCCCAGUGGAUGAAUCAGGUAGGCGUGUGUAUUCACAGCACUGAUUACUGACAAUUUUCUUGUGCCAUUGUGGUCCAAAUGUCGGUCAAUCAGACAUGUCACCAGAGAGGCAUAUUUUUUAAAAGAUCCUGGACAUUUAAAAGAAUAUGGAUAUUGCAGGGAUGGAAUUGAAACAAAAUUAACAAGCCCACUAAGCAAUUCCGAAACAUUCUGCAGAAUUCCUGCCUGAGAAAGCAUCUGCUUUGGACAGUAAAUUUUAGACACACCACUGGAGAUAAAAUGCUUCCCUGAAGCCAUGAGGCAUUAACCAUUUCCUUUUGCAGUCAAUCCAGUUCAUAAAUAGAGUAACAGCUACUUUAUUUGUCCCCUUCAUCUUUAGAAUUCUAAUGUGGGCAACAGGUAUCCAGAGUUUAUCAGUGUAACACACUUUACAACAACAAAAAAAGAAUUCCUGUAAGUUCCCACAGGGCAGAAAAGAGACAUGAUCCAUUUGGACUGCUUGAUAUUUAUGUCCUACUUAACCUUGCCCAGAAAGGAUUCAAGGCAAUUUACUUAAACUUUUGGUUUAACUCACAGCCCCUACCCCCAUCUUAAGGGGACUUCGAUAUUUGAGUAACUUUUUCCAGGUCUCAUUUUUGCAGUCGAAAACUGGGAUAAAACCUCCUUAGCCUAUGCUUUACAAUUCUUCAAAGGUUCAGGGGCGACUGGGUGGCUCAGUCGGUUAAGCGUCCAACUUCGGCUCAGGUCAUGAUCUCACGGUUCAUGGGAUUGAGCCUUGCGUCGGGCUCUGUGCUGACAGCUUGGAACCUGGAGCCUGCUUCGGAUUCUGUGUCUCCCUCUCUCUCUGUUCCUCCUCUGCUCUCACACUGUCUCUCUCUCUCUCUCUCUCUCUCUCUCUCUCUCAAAAAUAAAGAUUAAAAAAAAAUUUAAAUUCUUCAAAGGUUCAGUUAAGUGUCAGAUUCUUAAUUUUGGCUCAGGUCAUGAUCUCACGAUUUGUGAGUUCAAGCCCUGCUUCAGGCUCUGUGCUGGCAGCACAGGGGGAGCCUGCCUGGGAUUCUGUCUCCCUCUCUCUCUGCCUCUCCCCCACUUGCUCUCUAUCUCUCUUUCCAAAUAACAAUAAUAUUAAAAAAAAUUCUUCAAAGUUUCUCCAGCAUCCACAGUCGAGGUCUUUAACAUGGCAUACAACCCUUUUGGGCCCUCGCCUCUUUCUGUCACCAAAGUUUCACAUUUGCCCAGAUGGCAUAUGACUUAGCCAGACACAAUUUAAUUAAACUACUUUGAAAGACAUUUUAAUGGAAAGAAAGCACAUCCACAUGAAAAUAAAGUGUAGGGGUGCCUGGGUGGCUCAGUCGGUUUGGCGUCUGACUUCGGCUCAGGUCAUGAUCUUGCGGUUCAUGAGUUCAAGCCCCUAGUCAGGCUCUGUGCUGACAGCUCAGAGCCUGGGGCCUGCUUAGGAUUCUGUGUCUUCUUCUUUCUCUGCCCCUCCCCGACUCAUACUCUGUCUCUUUCUCUCUCUCUCUCAAAAAUAAAUAAAAACAUUAAAAGAAACAAUAAGAAAAGGAAAAUAAAGUUUAAAUGAUGAACAAAUGGGCUUUUUAAGGUAUUGGCUAAUUGUGCAUUGUUUUGCUACUCUUGGUGUGUACAAAGUAUUUGUGUCAAUUCUUGGAACCAUUAGUGCUUUUUAAUUUAUAAUUCAUUUUGUCUUACACUGCCGUACAGCAAAAAUUUGUAAUAGCAUACAUGUCUGUCAAAUGGUAGUUUGCUGAAAUUAAUUAUAGUAGGUUCUAACGUAGCACACAUUGUAUCAUCCAAUUUUACCAAAAAAUAGUAGUAUGUAAUAUAUAGAAAUCAUAUAAAAGGAUAUGGAAAUAUUCUGCAAGAUAUUAAUAGCAGUUAUCUUUGAAUAGGUGGGAUUAUUGUAUGCUUUGUGUUUAUGCUAUUGUUUUGUUUUCUGCAAUAAUAAUUCAUUGCUUUUUUUUAAUAAGAAAAAAUUAAGAAAAAAUACAAUAAUGAAAGAAGCUACCUUUGAAUGAGUGUGAGCUUAGUGUAUUCUAGGCACUGUGGCAAUUUUUUUUUAUUGUCUGUUUUAAUUCUUAAUAAUUGUGUAAAGCAGAUGUUACGAAUCCAUCUCAUAAAUGCAAAAAUAGGAACUUGGAGAUGCUAAGCUCAAAUUCAAGGCCAUACUAUGGCUAUUUCCAGAGGGGAACUGCAUGUAGACCAACCAUAUUCCUAAGGAGUCAUUACACUUCUUGCCACUGAUGGAUAUUUAGGUUGUGCUUUCAACCAUUACAAACAGCACAUGGGAGAAAUAAAUAGCUGGCAAUUAAUUCAAUGUUUUAAAAAGCAAAAUUAAAAUUAAAAAGCCAUUUUACAAAUCAGUAAUCCUUCAAGUUAGGUGAGGGACCACUUCAUAGUGUGCCAAAAUGAACAACCUUUGAGAAAAAAAAAAAAAAAGUGACCAGAAACACUCAUUUCAACAACAAAAGAAUUUUAAGCUAACUAUUACACCGAUCAGCUUUUUAAAAAAUUUAUAACCAAAGAACUCCAGAGACAAAUUUUCAAGAGUCCUGUGGUUCCCAACAGCAUGUACUUAGCACCCUCACCACUCGGACCAAACACUCUCUAUACAUGGGCUAAAUUUAUUUGAAUCUUGACCUUGCCCAUGCUCUGGAAUUCUCUUUCCACUGCUUAGUAAUGCUUGUUAAUUCUUCAAGGUUCUGACUCUUCUCUCCCAACAGGCUUCCAUUUCCAUCCUGAAGAUGAGAUAAGGGCAAUUUCACUGUUCUCCCACAUCCAAAACACAUAAUAGCCAAUAGGGCAGAUCAAAUGGCCAAGCCAAUAUGGCCUUGGCCAAUCAAAACAGACCCAGCUAUGCAAGAAUACCAGUGCACAACAGCUAAAUACCUAUUGCCACAAAGAUCACGUUAUGUAUAUCUCUUCAAUAGGUACCCACGCUCCUUGAGGACUGAGGCUACUGAUUUUUAAUUUUAUGUCAUAGUGCAUAUUGGCUGUGCUGGAGCCAAAUUAAGACAGCAAAAGCUUGGAAAACUCCUUACCUGUCACACAGUAUGUGGUGAUUCACAGAAACACUAGUCUGAUUACAUGCCUGAUUUCCCUGGGGUGCCAAAAUGUCACGUGCAAGGGUAUGGAGCUUUUUCACAAUUAGUGUUUGAUAUAUGCAGACAUAUAUGGUAAAGGGGUGGAGGUGGGGCGCAGGAGCCAGACUUUACUAAAAGGCUGUGGGGACCUUAACGGUAAAAGCACCAUGUUAGUUCUGUUGGGCAGGGCCUGGCCCCUCAGUGUGGCCUACAUUUGCCAGUAGUUCCAGGUCCAAGUGAGAUGGCUCAGGACUAAUUCCCCAUUCAACAUUCUUCAAACCACUCCAGAAUAUCUACACACUAGAUAGAAGAAAGGUGUUUUAAAAAUAAAAUAAGGAUAUCACCAGGGCCUGAGCUUUUCUCUGUGGGAUUCACCCCUCCCUUCUAACAGGUACUGAUGUGAGAACAGUAGACAUGUCCUUCAGCCUGGGGAGAGAGAGUGUCACCAAAAUUCAAAGUCAGAUACCUAAGUGUUCCAGGAGGGUGUGGGAAUCCCAUUUCUCAAGAUUGUGGAUGGAUAGGACAUCACAGGGAUGUUAUACUAUGUUUCAAUAGCUGCCAUAACAAAUUACCACAAACUUGGUGGCUUAAAACAACACAUAUUUAUGAUCCUACAGUUCUGUAGGCCAGAAGUCUGACAUGAGUCUCACCAUGCUAAAAUCAAGGUGUCAACAGUGCUGUGUCCCUGCUGAAGACUCUAGUAAAUUACCUGUCACUCUGACUUUUCCAGCUUCUAGAGGCCACCCAUGUGCCUUGGAUGGUGGCCCCUUCUAAAGCCAGCAAUGAUGUGUCAAGCCAUUCUUACAUCAUGGUCACUUCAGGACCCCUGUGAUUAUAUUAGGCCCCCCUGGAUAAUCCAGAAUAAUCUCCUUAUUUUAAGGUCACUUGAUUGGGAACCUUAAUUCAAUCUGUAACCCAAAUUCCUUUUUGCCAUGCAACAUAACAUAUUCAUAAGUUCUGGGGGAUUAGAUCGUGGACAUCUUGGUGGGGGGUGGGGGUGGCUAUUAUCCUUUCUACAACACAUGACAAAACACCAUAUUCCCAAAAAGGUAAAAGCAAUACAGCAUGGAGUAGAGAUAUACGGAUGGGCCUUCUCCCAUCAUAGGCUCAGAGUUCAAAGAAGAAAACUCCCCAUUUAGGUGACCUUAUAGAAAACAAAAUGCAUUUAGUCUAUAGCAUACAGUCUACAGUGAGUGAUUCAUGAUUAUAUAAGUUAAAUAACUAACUUCAAAUUAGCUUUGCUUUACUGUCUAAUUUUAUAAGUGGUUCCUUGAGAACCAAAAACUGUAUUAAGAUUUGCCAGUGAGCAAAAUCAUGAGCAGGGAAGCAGUUCCUUGGGUUCAUUAUAGGAUCCUGACCAAGCCACCUUUCUACACUUCAAUUUAUAAUUACCCACUCUUUUUCUAAUCUCCCAGGAAUGUUGCAAAGAGAAAGUAAUUAUAACAAAUAUGGUUGCUUCUAAUUAUAAUAAAAUAUUGAAGUUAAGAUUGAGAAAAAGGCACAAGUAAAUGUUUUUAUAGGGCUCAACUUCCCUUUUCUGUUUUAAAAAACCCAGUUUUCUAUACUUAGGUUUGAAUUUGUUGCAUUAAUUCAAUCCAAACCAACAAGGUUGCCUAGUAGUCAGCUUUGGGCAAUCUCCUUUGCGAACAUUUAACAUGUCAAAUGUUUCUAUAUAAAAUCAACGGUACUUAACAUAAUUCCAGGUCAAAAGAAUGUUGGAUAUUGCUUCUAUUCAUCUUUUCUCUACUAUUGUCAAUAAAAUCUGUGUAUUUGUUUAGUGGAUCUGUUUGGGACCCACUUGUGGUAGAAGUUAGGAAUGUAAAGAUAAAGAAGUUGCAGCUCUUUCCCUCUGCUGUAUGUCAAGAGGUGAAGGUUACCAGAUGUUGUACGUAAAGAAAGGCAGAGCAGGGAGGUUGACAGGUUGUGCAAUAAAAGUUGAUCAUGGACGUGCAGCUGAACAUGAUCAUUUAAGUCACGAUGUGGGCAAACUGUGUGCCACUGGUGGCAGUGCAGAGGCUCAGAGGAAGCGGGGAGAGGCAGACAGGAGAAAGGGGGUGGGGUCAGAGAUGCCUCAGAGGCAAAAAAUCACUGGGGUUAAGAGCAUGAGCUUUCUACUCAAGUAGACCCAGGUUGUUUGAAAUCCUACGUCUGCUAAGUCAUAAUAUCUCUGUACAUCUCAGUGUCCUUUUCUUUUAAAAUAGGAGCCUUAAUAGUAAUUCCUGAUGGAUUUAGUGCAAGGAACAAUGAUAUAAUGCAUGUGUAGUGCUUAACACAGGUGCCUAGCACUGAGCAAAUCUUCAGUGACAAUUGGCUGCCUUUAGAAGACAUGGCCAAUAUAGGGGGAAUAGGAAGAAGGAGAGGGAGAGGAAGAAGAGAAGGAAGGCAAACAGGGCAGGACAAGAGGAAGGGAGGGAAAGGAUAUUCUGGGGCAUAUGUCCUGGAUGAGAGAUAGCUCAUGGUAAGUCACAGGGCUGAGUUUCCUAAGCAAAGCUUCAGGCAUCAGGGAAAAGUAAACCAGGGAGGAAAGAGAGUGCCAGCCUCUCAUAUGGAGACUUGAGUUGAUACUAAGAGGGAAACCAAGACUGCAUCCACUUAAAGCUCUAAAACAAAUCCAGCUACAAAAUGCCAGGGAGAGCAGUGACCUGGAAGAACCUCAACACACCUGGAAGCCCCAGGCAGAUCCCAAAUAGUCAUCAAGGGAAAUUUGAGGGAAACUCAUAAACCCAGGGUGUCUCCUAGAGCACAAACUCUUCAACCGAGAGAAAGGCAACCUGAGAGAUGGCGAAUGCUUAAAUAUUUUGCCUGUAUUGUGCCCUUUGGUUUGGGAAUCCGAGUGAGACUCACUUUGCAGGGAACAAUCACAGGGAAAUGGUAAUAACAGUCCUAGGAAAAUGAGAUUUCACCUCAAGGAGCUCACAAUAGAAUGUGGAAAAGAUGAACAUGCAAACAAAACUAUCUACAGUGUAGCCAACCAUAAGACAAGCAUAUACCAAGUGUCUGAGGGAAGAGCAUGAUCAGUUCUGUCUAGGGGAGACAGGGAAGGCUUUCCAGAGUAUCAAACUCUGGGGGCGCCUGGGCAGCUCAGUUGGUUAAGCGACCGACUCUUGAUUUUGGCUCAGGUCAGAUCUCCUGGUUCCUGAGAUCAAGCCCCACAUCCGGCUCCUCAUUGACAGCACAGAGCCUGCUUGGGAUUCUCCCUUUCUCUCCUUCCGCUGCCCCUCCCCCUGCUCUCACACUCUCACAAAAUAAAUAAAUGAACUUAAAAAAGAGUGUCAAACUGGCGUCAGACUUCAGAGGAUAAAUUCACCAGGAGAGCAGAGGGAAGGGACAUUCUGAGCAGGGGGACAGCAUACAAAGUCAUGCAGAUCUGAAAGUGGACGGCAACUUUAGGACACCAGAUGUAGUGGUUAUAACAUCAAGGGUAUAUGGAUCAAUAGUGAAGGGAAGGAAAGCAAUGGAGAUGGGAAUGAAAGGAAAGCCUUGGUAGUUUCGUGAUGUGUUUCCACGUGUCAUGUGUAUCAAUAAAUCAGUUUUUAUUGCUUUUUAUUGUUCAGUGUGUAAUAGGUCACAGUAAUUAUACGAUCUUAUAUAUAUUUAUAUAUUAAUUUACUGUUUACAGAGUAUGUCCUUCUUAUUUAAUUCUCACAGCAGAACAGGAAGAUAGGUUUUGUCAUCUUUGGUUUUGCAAAUGAGGACAAAGUCUCAAAGGAUGUUAAGUUGUAUGCCUGGGGUUGCCGCGCUUUGACUGAAACCAGCUGCCUUGGUAUUCAUUCAUAUUCAGCAAACAUGUACUGAGUUCCUACUCUACUGCCAAAUGCUCUGAUAGAUGCUGGGAAUACAAAGAAUGCUCAAAUGAAUACACAGAAAGAAGGGAGAAACUAGUACAUAAACAAUGAAUUAAAAUAUAAUGAAGUAAAAAUUACUAUAAGGAUGCGCAUGAGAUUGUUACCCAGAAUAUGCACAGAGGGGCACAGGAGGAGCUGCCCGGAACAGGUGCCUCCUGAGCUGUUGAGUAGGUGUGUAGGGGGUGGAAGAGAUAAAGGCUGUUCCAGGCAUGAGAACUGCAUGUGCAAAGACACAGGAACCCUAGAGAGGAUUACAUGAAACCAAACCAGGAAACGUUCAGGGAGGAUUGCCUUAGGUUGCAGAUGAAAGACAGAGGAGCCAGAUCAAAAACAGUCCUUGCAAGUCUAUGCUCAGGGGUGUGAAUUUUCAUGCUGUAAAUGUCUAGGAUCCACUGGAGGGUUUUAAUUGUGUGAGCGACAAGAUCGGAUUUGUUAUUCAAAAAGCACACUCCGGCAGCAGUUCAGUGGGUGGAAUGGAAAGUGGUUACCCUGGGGACGAGCAGACCCAUUAGGAAGCUGUGACAAUCAUCCAGGAGAGAGAAAAUGAGGAUAGUAGUUGGAGGAAUGAGCAGAUUCAAAGACAUUUUGGAAGCAGAACUGAUGGUCAGGAGAGAUUCACUGGAUACAAACACUGAACAAAAGGAACAAUCAAGAAUGACGGUCAGAUUUCUGGCUUGGACAUCUAGGUGAAUAGUAAAUCAUUAAUCAAGAUGUAGCAUACUAAAGAAGUAGCAGAUUUGCAGAAUAUUAUGCGUACAUAUGGAAUGAGCUGAAUUUGAGGUGCCUCUGGGACUCCCAGGUGAAUAUACCAUAUGUGGUUAAUACAUUUAGAAUUCAGAAGAGAGAUUAUAUCUAAAGAUUUAAGAGUAAUUGUGAAAUACUCUGUUGUUGAAGUUUUGACAACCUCCAAAGCUACAAGAUCUGGGUACCAUUGCUUCUACCCAAUUCAUUUGCACCAUCUCUGAAGGAGGUACUAGCUCAAGCUUUGUUCCAAAGUACAAAUUAGCAUAGCAGCUCAGUAAACAAUGUCUCUGAGCUUCUGGAAAGAAAGAUGUUCAGUCACCAUAAGGCUCAGAAUUAAUGAAAAGUCACAGAAAUAAUAGCUCUAUUCUCCAGUUGCUUUUGAACCUCAAAUCACUCUUUGGCAACAAGGUAAGAAUUUACAGAAACUGCUGAAAAGAUCUUCUGGUAAAUAGAGCAGCGAAAAGAGUUUGUUUGUAAUAUUUGUUCUAAACAAUAUAUGUGGUUAAAUUUUGAAAUUGCUAGUUCACAUUCCUGACCUGAAUUCCUUUUCUAAUUGGAAAGUCAAUUUUGAUUUUGAUUGUAGGGUAUAAUUCCUUUAGAAAAAUCUCCUGUGAAGUUAGUUCCUUCUCAUUAUGUUUUUUUUUUAACCAGAUAAAAUUACAAGAAUUAAAUGAUAUGUGCUAUGUAAUGAAUGCAGUUUGCCUAUGCUUUAAUGAGAAAACAGUUCCUGGAGGGAAAAUAUUUUUGCUCAGUUAUGGGCAAACACCGACAACAUCAAUUGAAAACCCAAUGAAAACUGUUACUUCUUUCAGGUUGGAUAGAAAUGACCAUAAUGUAAGGCCAGAGCAUUAUUGUUAUUAAUGCUUGGAAAAACACUAAUAAUCAAUAAUUCAUCUCCUAAUUGUGAUAGAUAUGAAACAAUCAAUCCCAUUGUUUUUCCUUUCCCAUCCCCAUACUUCCUAGUUGGGUCACAGUGGGAAGAGGAAGGGAUUCAUUUGUCACAGUAUAUGUUUUGUCACCAGCGUGAAUAUCAAACCUCUCUGUAGUGUUUGAGAGAAAGGAAGGAAACUAAACGGGGGCUUGGCAUAUUUAAUCUUCUCAAAGUUUUCAAGUAAAUCUGUUCUACGAAUACACAGAGCUAAUAAAUUUAAGACCAUUGAAACAAUAAUACAAAACUAUUCAGGAAUAAUUAUGACAUGAUAAAUGUUCCAUAAGUAUUUGAUAGUAUUAUUACUAAUUAGAUCUCCAUUUUUUACCUGAGGAACCUCAUACUCAGGGAGGUUAAAUAUUUAUCCAAAGUGAUAUAGCUAGUAAGGGAUGGGUUCUGAUUUGGAAGCCAGGUUUCCUGGCCUCCAGAACUUAUGCCUUUUCCAUUAUUCUAUACUGCCACUUAGUGACAAGUACAUUUAGUCCCUAUUGAAAAUAAUACUCCCUUAUCGUCUAUUCUCACGGAGAUACUCCUGAAGUUGGUAGAUGAAAAAAACUUGACUUCUAACCCUUGAGAGCUGAUUUCAAAUAAUCUUUCAACUUACCUGUGCCCUAAUGUUCUCAUUUGGAAAUGAGAGAUGUCAUUACUGCCCUUCUUUAUCAAUACACUAUGCAGGAUAGUAUAUUACAGUUUCUAUAUUGUAGCAUCCAUAUACCUUAUCUCAUUUGGUUUUAAAACAGAGCUAAUAAAAACUAACAGAAAGCACGUGGAAUUUCCAGUUUCACUAAGUGAAUACAAUUCUUUGAGGGUCAGUUUUUUCACUUACAAAACUAGAGGUGAAUUCUCUCGGGGUCUUUUAACAUUCUUAUAAAAUGAUGUUGCAUAGGGAUUAUUCCUAAGUUUAGAUGUAGAAAAAGCUCAGAGAAGAUCAAUGAUUUCCCCUAAGAAUGUUCAACAAAUAAAUUAUGAAAUCCUAGGACCUGGGUUUUUGACUCCUAAUGUAAGUCCCUUUCUACUCCAUUGAACUACAUAUUUAUUCUGAUAGGCAAAGAAACCAUAAUGAUGCUUGAUAUGAGUGAUAAUUUGACUCAUCAGAUGAUUGUUUUUGCUUUUAGGUAGAUUGAUAAACUUCAAGGUAAUUAGCAUCUAUAGUUGCUAAGCUGAGAUCUGAGUGACAUUGGUGACCUGCCAAAAGAAACAGUUGGCACCAGACUUUGUGAGUUGCCUUUCAUCAGCAAGCUUCACUUUAAAACACUGAAGUCCACCCUGCCUGUACCUGAAUUUCCCUCUUGAAACAAGUAACUAGUGCCAUCUUUCUCUUGAAUUGGCUGGCACUGCUGUGAUAUCAGUUAUCACGUGAUAUUCCAAAAGGCAAUUGUGAUCUCUGGCAUCAACGCGUUGGCAAUCCACUUGGAGAAAAUGCAGUUUGAUGUUAAGCACCUGGCAGUUUUUAUCGUAGCUGGAAUGAACAGAGGGUCCUUAAGGCACCCGGAAUACCACUGAGUACUCUGUAAUGCUACUCAAUGUCGAAACUAGGUGAGAAGUCCCAAAACCUCAGGUUUGACAAAAGCAGAGUUUCAAUUAUCAAAGCUGGCUAGAAUUCGGGAAUCAUCCAAAUUAACCACUAUAUUUUAUAAAUGAAGAAAUCUGUCACCACUUGUCUGGACAAAGAAAAAAGGGAUUGGAGCUAGAGUCUUCACUGGCUAAUUUGUUCUGGGAACCAUAGAAGUUAAACGGAUGCUGGACAGACACCAACUAUACGAGAGACAUCAUGCAUUUUCUAAAUAUGUUGGUGUUCCUCCAUAUAAAUCCAGACUAUUUUGGUAUUGCUUCAUAAGCAAGUAUUCCAACUUAGAAAUGUUGAAAACCAAUAGAGAAGUAACAGAAUGCAGCAGCUCCUCCUUUCCUUUCUUCCUCUCACUAUGUCUGCAUCAGGUACUUCUCUGAUACAGUCUUCACACUGUCAUAAUUGACUAUGACCUUCCAAAAAAAAGUCAACAAAGCAACUCACAGCCUACCUGCUGUAGUCUGUGUAUAAUUCACAUGCUGAAAUCCUACUCCCCAAUGUGAUGAUAUCAGGAGGUGGGGCUUUGGGGAGGUAAGAAUGAAGCCCUAAUGAAUGGAAUUAGUGCCCUAACAGAAGAGAAGCCCGAGAGCUCCCUCAUCCCUUCUUCCAUGUGAGCACAAAGAGAGAAGACGGCCAUCUAUUUGAGCAAGGAAGUGGGCUCUCACCAGACACCAAAUCUGCCGGUGCCUUGAUUUUGGACUUGCCAGCCUCCAGAACUGUGAGGAAUAAAUUUCUGCUGUGUAAGCCACAUGCUCUAUGGAAUUUGUUAUAGCAUCCUGAGUGGACUAAGACACUAUCCAGGUUUUUCUGAUAAUGUUUUCUCCCCUCUUUCCACCCUGACAGUACAUCUUUCUCAGUUGCCCUGUGUCACUCUCACCAGGCUGCUUUUGACUUAAAUAAUGGCAAGAGUGCAAGGGCUUUUGGGACAAUUAAUAUAUUCUCUAUUGGAUCUGUUUCAAAGACAGAAUAGCAAUUGUCUUAGAGAACAAAAUGGCACAAUCAUCAAAGUUAUGCAGUGGAGGCUUUUCUAUCUCCAGCUCAGAAGCCUUCCCUGCCCAGCUACACUUAGUCACCCUGGAUGCACGCUGCUCCCACAGUGGUCUUCCACUCACAGCUCCAACUGGAUGAAAGAUGAUGGGAAGGGACAUUGCUGGUCCAGGGAGUGACUCUUCCAGAGUGAAGAAAAAGAAAGUGGUUCUGAGAGCAUUACCUAAGAAAGAUCUAAAGCUGUUUGGUAUGGCCAGAAGAAUAUGAUUUUCCUGAGUGACCUGUUGAACCAGUCUUAUUACUCUGUAGUCUCAAUAUAUACAGCUGGAACAUAAUUCCUCUCCCAGUACCAGGACAAGUGGGUGGACUGUCUAACUCUCUAUCCCUCCUUCUACUCUUCAAACUGCAAGAUACUAUUUUGUGUGUCUUUUCUUUUUUGAAGGCUGCCCUUGGUGCUCAGCAUAACCUGAGCUCACCUGGAUAAAGGCAUGGUUUAGGAGAGGGUACUCGGAGAAACAGUGCCCUGGGUCCAGAGCUUCCAGGACAGGGCCAGGCGGCAAAGCUUAAUAAGGAAAGACUCAUCUGAUAUAAAUAAUUUAAGAGACAGAAUUCACAGUGGCCUGAAUAGAAAGUGAAAAUGCAAGCAUGCUGCUUCUCAUGGACGGCAAAAAACACUGGCAUGAAAAGUCUUGUUUUCUGGUUAAUGAAUUAAAGAAAUAAUCACAAAUGGGAUAUAGAUCCAAGUGACCACAUCAUGAUUCACUCAUUUGUCCAUGAUGAAUAAAUUACCUGUUUUAUGACUGAGCCAUUCCCCAAUGUGACAUUAAAGUACCAAAAAUUGUUAGGGAUUGUUCUUUCUAGAGAAAGAUGAUGCUACUGAGCCACCAACAAUGCUCAAUGUUUUCAGCAGUGAGAAAAGAUUUGCAACAUAACAGAUGAGAACUAUUUGUAUGUGCUGAUCUAUAUUUAUGAAUCAGAGAACAUCCCAGGGGAGUUUUAGCUUCACUAGUAGCGGUUUUCAAUCCUCAUCUCUACCACAGGAAUUCCCAUACUGUUACACACAAGAAGGAAUACACAGGUUUGAUGAAACUCAAAAAUAACUAGUGUUUGAUGCUUCCUCUCCCAUCUUUAAAAAAAAAAGCCAUUUUUGCCAUGGCAAUCCUUUAAAAAAAGAAUUACAAUUGCGUUAGAGAUAAAAUCAGAUAUUGAAAUAGCACACACACACAUACAUACAACCUAUUGUAUCAAGAUACACAAAGAAAAGGGAAAUAUUAUGACUAAUUUUUAAACUAAAUAUUUUCAAAAAGAUUCUCAAUAUCUCUAGAUUGCCAUUCUCUAGGUAAUAAUAAACUGAACAAAUACGUGGUAUGACAGCAGCAGAAGUGAAAUGCAUUUUACCAGUAAAAUUUUACCUGGGGUGAGGUGGGGGGAGUAAACUGAUGUGUCUAAGAGGAAGUAUCUUGUGUCUCAUCCGCCAUAAAGGAUAACUACAAAAUCUCUAUCUAAAAGAAAAAAAGAGAAAAAAACAAAAACAAAAACACUAAACGUUACAAAUGGAAACCAGUGAAGCCAGGACUUAAAGUUUCUAGAUCCUGAAUCCUUGAAGAUUGAGUCUUGAUUGCAGAGAGAAGGGAAAUACUUUGAGGUGAGCCCCACAAGCCCUCGGGGAGUAGGCUGGGUUUUGGCACAGAGCAUGGAAGCAAAACAGAAAACAGUGGCAUAGGGUUUAUAGUGCUCUCACUGCACUGUAGAGAUAAAAAUCAAAGUUUUAAUUGAGGAAAUUGGAAAAUCUUUGGAAAUGAGUGACAUGUGUGCAAUGUAGGAAGAGUAGUGCUUAAAGAGGAAAUUUUAAAGCCUUAAAUACAUCCACUAGAAGAGGGAGAAAAAAGCUAAAAAUCACACAUGUUAAAAUAUAGUAAAAGGAGAUCAUGAACAACUUUAUAUUAAUUAACUUCAUACAUUAAAUUCCUUGAAAAAAGCAUUACUUACCAAAAUUGAUACAAAUAAAUAAAAAAUCUGAAUGAUGCCAUUAUCUAUGAAAGAGAUUGAUUUCAAAAUUAAAAACCUUCACACAAAGAAAACUUUGGGCCCAGAUGCUUCAAAAGAGAAUUAUUCUCAAUACUUAAGGAAAACAUUAUUUCAAUCCUGCACAGGCUUUUUAAUAGUCUACAUAGAGGGAGUAUAUUUCCCAUCUCAUGUUAUAAGACCACUGUAAUCCUGACAGCAAAACCUGGCAAAGACAUAAAAAAAGGAAAAUUACCCAUCUUUCUUGUGAAUAGAGACACAAACAUACUAAAGAAUAUCAAAUUAAACCUAACAGUAUGGGAAAACAUAAUAUAAUUGGAAUUAAACUAAGAGUGGGAAGUUGAUUUAUCACUCAACAAUCAAUCAUUGUCAUCCACUACACUGACAGAAAUAAGAGUAAUCAUGUAGCCCUUUUAAUAAAUUCAAAUGAAUAAAUAAAAACAUUUACAACCAUUCAUGACUGAGACAAAACAAAAUAAAUGCCUCUUAGCAAAACAGAAGUAGGAGGAAAUUUCUUUAUAUGAUAGAGAGUAUCUUCAAAGAAAACUUAUAGUAAAUAUUAAGCUUGAUGAAACUCUGAAAAAUUUCUUUCUGAGAUAAAGUUAUCUUAAGAAAUAAGGAGAACCCCAUUGCCAUUGCCACUUAAGAGUUUCUUGGAAGUCCUGCCAAUGCAAUAAGGCAAGAAAAAUAAAUAAAAUAUAUAUGCAUUGAAGACAAGACAUGAGAAUGUACAUAGAAAAUCCAAAAGAUAAACAUUUAGAAUCAAUAAGUGAAUUUAUCGAAGUCAGUACAUACAAAAUACACAAAAAUAAAUUAUACUCAUAAAAUACCAAUAAAUUAGAAAAUAAAAUUAAAAAUGAUACAAUGUUAUUUAUAAUAUAUCAAAAAAUUAAACACAUAGGAUUAUAUCUAACCAUAGUGUGUAAGAGAGAAAACUAUAAAAUAUUAUUGAAAGAAAUUUAAAAAGAUCUAGAUCUAUGUCAUACAUACUAUGUCCAUGAAUUAGACAAUAGUAUCAGAAAAGUCAUUUCUGAGUUUGAUCUCCUGCACUCCUAGUUAAAAUCUCAACAGGUAUUUUUGUGGAGUUUGAGAAGUUGAUUUAAAUCAAUGUGGAAAUGUUAAAGACCAAGAAUAGCCAUGAUGACCUUGAAGAAAAGUUAAGUUGGGAGACCUACAACAUCAAAUAAAGAAAUUAAAAUUUAUAGCUAUUGUAAUUAAAUUUAUUAUUCAUUAAAGGAUAGACAAUAAAUGUAUUGAACAAACAUUCCAGAAAUAGUCCAGAAACAAACCCAUAUACACAAAUACUGCACUGAUGAGUAAGGGUUGUCAAAUGAUAGUUUCUUUUGCUUUUCUUCUUCCCAAUAAGUGAUAUUGUGUGAACUGGAAAACAAAUAAAAAUAAACCUUGAAUCCCACCUCACUAUCUUAUAUCAUAAAUAAAAAUGAAUUCCAGAUGGAAUAGAUUUCAAUAGGAAAAGUCAAACAAUACGUUUUCUGGAAAAUAAUGUAAGAGAAAAUAUACAUGAGCUUAGAAUAGGCAAAGACCUUUUAAACAGGACACAAAAAUGCUACCCAUAAGAAAAUGAUAGAUAAGUUGGACUUCAUUAAAUUACUAACUGAAACAGCCCCUCCCAUGUUUUAGAAGAAGGUAGAAUAUCCAACUUUUAAAAAUCAUAACAUUAAAAAAAUUUAAGAAACCAACAUAUGGGUAAAUUAACAAUAUCUAAUUAGCAAAAAUCUUGUCUAAAAAAAAAUUAAAACCUUAACCAUUUCAAUAACAUGUAUUCCCUCAAUAGAGAUGCAAGAGAUAAUUACUUGGCUAUAAGUCAGUUAAUACUGAAUCACAUGAUGUAGUAGUAGGCAAAGAAUUAAGUGUGUUCCACAGAAUGCAUUUUAAAAUUCAAAGGUGGUUUAAAAGGGUAAAGUUAAUCAAAAUGUCUGUGAACACCUGGCUUCCUUCUUUUUAGUUAGGCUUUUCUGAAGCACAGUUUUGACAGCAUCAUAAAAGUAGAAAUGAAAGACCAUCAGGGAGAAAGCAAGUGAGUGUAUGAGACAUGGACAGAGGUUCCACCUCAGAGAACUAAGGCUGGAAGGAUGUAUUCAGUAGUUAUAAUAGAAGUUUGACUUAGAGCUCGAUCUCCUAUCAUGACCUAUAGCUAAUAGAUUAUGUUAUUAAACCUGUUGGGAGUGGGGAGACCUAAUUCAAGAAUAAGAAUAGAAUAAGAAUAAUACCCUGCCAUCCAGAGGUAUGAGAUUCAAGUCCAUAAAUAUAAAUAAAUUAGCUUCAAAAGUAAGACUGCUUAAUUUUUAAAAAGAAAACAACCAAAAAACAAACAAAAUACCAAAAACUCUCCAAAGGCUUCAUGUCCUACCAUUAUAAAGUAACAAGACUGAGCUCCAAAACGUUGGGUCUGGCCAGCAGGACUGGCUACAUAACUUGUGAUGCCCAUUGCAAAAUGAAAAUGCAGGGUUCCUUGUUCAAAAAUUCUUAAAAUUUUUAACACUCAGCAACAGCAAAGCUUUAAACCAAGUACAGGGCCCUGCUGGGCGCUAGGCCCUGAGUGACUGCCCCAUGCAGUUGACCCUGUCAGCCAGCAAAGACUGGCCACAAAAAUCUAGGUUUUCGUCCACAUUUUCCUACAAGGAAAACCACACCAUCAGCAGUGUUGUCUGUGACAAAGUGUGAAGUUUUGGAUUUGAUGUGCUUGUCUUAGGUUAAACAGGGGAUAGUAUCCUUAUGCUGAGUCUUCUGUGCUUUUAUUCUGAAACAGAUAGUUUGCCCAUUCAAGGCUGUGAUCAUCAGAAUACAUCCCCAUUUCUGUCUCCAGUCUUGUGUUCCUUACACUGCCCAGAAAGAAAGCAUUGUGUGUGUGGUGGUUUUUUUCAUGCCCCAGUAAGCUUUCAAAUUAGGCCAAUCAGAAAUGAUACAUGCGCACAUAAUAUCUAGCUUGCUUUAAUCUAUCAAUUAAUAUAGAGAGACUAUUUAGAAUAUUUAAUACAAAGAACAAAAGAAUGCCAUUACAUGAAAAGUGUAAGAACCAGUUUCAAUUGUGUGCUAUUCCAUUCUGCUUUAUCCAGCCACUUUAUCUGCAUGGAUUCCUUCCAAGAGAUAAAUCUUUCAAACAGGACUUUUUUUUUUUCUUUUUUUUUGUGAGUUAUAGCUCAUGUCCUGUCAGGUUGUGUAUCAAAACUGCAGGUGAAUUUUCACCUCUUGAUUCUGCUAAACUGUAAAAGGGCUCACAAGGCAAGAAAUCUUAGAUCUUUUAUUCAUUCUAGGCACUGAAAAAUGGUAAAAAUAUUUUUUCCUGCUAAAUACAGAAUAUGUGUCUCCUGAUAUACGGCAGGAGCACUAAAAAUAGGACCAAGUACACAUCUUUGUUUCAUCCAAAGGACAUAAAAUAUACAUUUAAAGUUACAACUCAGGGUAUAGUUUGCUAUUUCUUACCAUUAAGAAACACAUUUCCAAAAUCAAUAUCUAUUCCUAUUUAGGUUUCUUGGAAGGGAAGAAUGAAAUUGAAUAUGAGAAAAUGUGACUGGUAAUGAACAGUAAGAAAGGGAUAUUUAUACUUUAUCUUCUGUAGUCCAUCCUGUGAAAUAAGAAUGAAGCCAGGGGACCGAUGAUAACAAUCACAUGCUUUUAUGAGCUAGGGAACCACCAUCUCAGAUGGUAGAAACCACUAAGGAAGAGUGCUGACAGCAGCUAACAGAAGCAGAGCACCCUAAUGCAUAAUUUAAGGAUAGCUUGUUACAAGAGGAACUUUAGCAAAUGUGUACAAGGUGAAGAGUUAGUGCUAUGUAAUGUAAAAUUAGUAUCUGCCUUAGUUGGGGUUUCAAAGAGAGCAGAGAGAGGCAUUUAGCAAACUCCUUAUAGUUUGGAUGAUUCUAUCUCUUAUUGCCAUCUUUGAAAUUGUUUUCACAUUGGAUAUUCCUAUCUUACAUACCUUUUGUUGUUGUUGGUUUUUGUUUUCCUCAAGAUUUUAUUUAAGUUCAAAUUAGCUAACGUAUAGUAUAGUAUUUGGUUUCAGGAGUAGAAUUUGUGCUUACAUAUAACACCCAGUGCUCAUCACAACAAGUGCCCUCCUUAAUACACAUCACCUAGAUAGCCCAUCCCCCACCCACCUCCCUUCCAGCAACCAUCAAUUUGUUCUCUAUAGUUGAGAGUCUCUUAUGGUUUGCCUCCCUCUCUGUUUUUAUCUUAUCUAUUUUUCCUUCCCUUCCUCCAUGUUCAUCUGUUUUGUUUCUUAAAUUCCACAUAUGAGUGAAAUCAUAUGGUAUUUGUCUUUCUCUGACUGACUCAUUUUGCUUAGCAUAAUACACUCUAGUUCCAGUUACGUCAUUGCAAAUGGCAAUAUUUCAUUCUUUUUGAUGGCUGAGUAAUAUUCCAUUGUAUGUAUGUAUGUGUAUAUGUAUAUGUAUGUGUGUAUAUGUAUAUGUGUAUAUGUAUGUAUGUGUGUACACACACACACACACACACACACACACACACACACACACCAGAGCUUCUUUAUCCAUUCAUCAGUUGAUGGACAUUUGGGCUUUUUCCAUAAUUUGGCUAUUGUUGAUAAUGGUAUUACAAAUAUUGGGGUGCACAUGCUCUUCAUAUUUUUUAUACUUUGGAUAGAUACCUAGUACUAUUGCUGGGUCAUAGGGUAGUUAUACUUUUAGCUUUUUGAGGAAGCUCUAUACUGCUUUCCAGAGUGGCUGCACCAGUUUGCAUUCCCAACAACAGUGCAAGAGGGUUCCCUUCCUCUGCAUCCUUACCAACAUCUGUUGUUUCCUGAGUUGUUAAUUUUAGCCGUUCUGACAGGUUACACACUUUUCUUCCAUGCAAUUUGAGUUAAGAAAAUAAAAGCUUAUCUCUACAGGUUUGGGGACCUUCUACUGCAUCUUAAGAGUCAUUUUCAAUUACUGUUUCUUUAACCGACUCUUCCCUUGUGCCCAUCUUCUUGGUCUUUCAUCUGGAACAUGUUAAUGACUUGACUGCUCUGGCUCCAGCCUUCUUUCCUUCUGAUCCAUCACUCAAAAAACUUCUAAUUUCUCAUUUCAAAAUAUUUCGGGGCACCUGGGUGGCUCAAUCGAUUAAGCGUCUGACUUUGGCUCAGGUCACGGUCUCAUAGUCUGUGAGUUCAAGCCCCGUGUCAGGCUCUCUGCUGGUGGCUCAGAGCCUGGAGCCUGCUUCAGAUUCUGGGUCUCCCUCGCUCUCUGUCCCUCCCCCACUCACACUCUCUCUCUCUCUCUAAAAUAAAUAAACAUUUAAUGUUUUUUUCAAAAUGCAUAUUUCAUCAUGCCACUCUCUCUUGGCUUACAGGAUAAAAUCUUGACUCCCCUAUAGAUUCAGAGUCCAAGGAGCCACAGUGGGGGAGGAAGUCUUAGCCAAAUCCAUGUACAUUUAAUUCCCUAUGCAACCCUGGUGCACCAAAGGCUAACCUCAGUGCUCACUGAUAGUCAAAAUUAUAUUGUCUUGCCUUAGAUUUAGAGGCUUUUGGCUAUACACUCUAACCUUUAGAGAUUGCUCAGUGUUUCUUGAUCAUACCUGGCUCACGACCACCCAUGUUCUAUUCCAAGGGAACACACUUCCCAGGAAAAAAGAUUCUAAGCUGAGCCAAGGACACACUUCCAGGGAGUUUUAAGAUGAAUACCAGGGUGGUCCUCAGGGAAACGAGAUAAAACAGACACUUGGACUAGUUCAAAUUCUAGGUAUAAACCAAGGGGCAAAACAGAAGUGCAAAGGUUCACAUGUGGUCCAGACCAGACCAGCAGGUUCAGGAUUUCGCUGUGAUUUGUAGUUAAAGCCCAUACAAGUCAACUGUGUGUUUGACUGAAGGGUUCCUUCUGCAUAUACCACUGGGAAUCUAGCACAGAUUCCCGUUGAUGAAUUUGGACAUUCAGAAUCUGUGCAUAUCUAACAAGGUCCACUAGCAAGGACUAUCUAUAUCACAUCAGCCUGUAGUAGGGGAUUUGAACCAUUUCCCCUAAUUACACCAAAUGAAUUUAGUGAACAACAGAAGGGUACAACUUAAGAUGAGAAAUCACAUUACCCACAACUGAAUUUUAUAAGUUUUUUUUCAAAAUCAUAUAUUUAAUAUGGUACUCAUGUUAAGGCUGAGCAGAGGAUAUUGAAUCUCUGAAAGAUCUUAGCAAAUUAUGUAAACAUCACUUUAUUUGCAGUGUAGAGCCAACUUUUCCUAUUAAUGAAAGAUUUCUUUACCAAAUUCCCAUAAUAAAGCUGUUUAUGGUAUUUUCUAAAUGAACUGAGUUACAUCAGUCCUCAAUGCAACACUGUCGCCUUAUAGCUUUAGGGGAUUUUUCAUAUUCCACAAGGGAUUUUAUUUAAGAACUAGUCUUUUAACAAUUAUGUCUUUCUUAAUAUUUUAACAACUUUACAGACCUCUUGGGGUGUCGUGUUACACUGAAGCCUCUUGAAGCUUCACAAAAAUGGAUAUAAAAACUCUCAGAACUAUUCCCAGAACCAGAUUAAUCCUUCAUGGGAGACACUUCGAUCAUGUGACCACACAAAACAUCAUUUUCUUAGUAGCACAUUAGGAUUUCUGUAUAAAUCAAUGUCUUCUUUUGUCUUCCUUUUUUUAGAUGGAAGAAACUUAAAAUGAAAAAAAAGAAGAAAAGAAAAAGCCCCACCUGUAGCCCUUGGUAGCAAUUUAAUAGCUGACAAGAAGAGGGCUUCAUGACCACAGAGAUACUAGUUUUGACAUGAAAAUACUCCGUCAGAAUGCGAACUCUGGUCCAAUACAUGAACAGAUACCGUUUCCCCUGACGAUUUUUGGCGAGACUUCACAAGGAACCUGUUUUCAGCAUUUCAGUCACCUAAAACUGAACAAAAAGCUAAUGCAGUUGAGGCACCAGAGUUCACAGGGCUGACAAAUGGAUAAAAUGUUCCUUUGCUAGAUUAAAAAAAAGCUUUAAAACUG